AAGAUUAAGCCAUGCAUGUCUAAGUAUACGCAAAUUAUACUGUGAAACUGCGAAUGGCUCAUUAAAUCAGUUAUAGUUUAUUUGAUGUUUCUUGCUACAUGGAUAACUGUGGUAAUUCUAGAGCUAAUACAUGCGUAAAAAGCCCCGACUUCGGAAGGGGUGUAUUUAUUAGAUAAAAACCAUCCUCCUCGGAGUUUGGCGAUUCAUAAUAACUUCUCGAAUCGCAC
RNAcentral lists this ribosomal RNA (227 nucleotides) under uncultured fungus. Its description in RNAcentral is "partial 18S ribosomal RNA". It matches the Rfam family "Eukaryotic small subunit ribosomal RNA", at positions 40 to 274 of the family's 1831-position model. Lineage: Eukaryota; Fungi. The record is from RNAcentral.